This 508-nucleotide ribosomal RNA is filed under the name uncultured bacterium. RNAcentral's name for it is "partial 16S ribosomal RNA". It matches the Rfam family "Bacterial small subunit ribosomal RNA", at positions 30 to 523 of the family's 1533-position model. The record is from RNAcentral.
AUUGAACGCUGGCGGCAUGCCUUACACAUGCAAGUCGAACGGCAGCGGGGGAGAAGCUUGCUUUUCCUGCCGGCGAGUGGCGAACGGGUGAGUAAUACAUCGGAACGUGCCCUGUAGUGGGGGAUAACUAGUCGAAAGAUUAGCCAAUACCGCAUACGACCUGAGGGUGAAAGUGGGGGACCGCAAGGCCUCAUGCUAUAGGAGCGGCCGAUGUCUGAUUAGCUAGUUGGUGGGGUAAAGGCCUACCAAGGCGACGAUCAGUAGCUGGUCUGAGAGGACGAUCAGCCACACUGGGACUGAGACACGGCCCAGGCUCCUACGGGAGGCGGCAGUGGGGAAUUUUGGACAAUGGGCGCGAGCCUGAUCCAGCAAUGCCGCGUGUGUGAAGAAGGCCUUCGGGUUGUAAAGCACUUUUGUCCGGAAAGAAAUGGCUCUGGUUAAUACCUGGGGUCGAUGACGGUACCGGAAGAAUAAGGACCGGCUAACUACGUGCCAGCCGCCGCCGCAG